AUGAAGGUUAGUCAGCUUUGUCCUCGUCGGAGAGCGUCGGAGAGUUGUGUUUCCCGACUCCGUCUGACCAGACCUACAUUGUUAUACAAGCCCUAUAUUACAUUUUCUUCUCCUGGCCAACGAUUUGCUACGCUGAUUGUGGUCACCAGCAUCUUCAGGUCUACAUUGAUGAUUCCUCAACCAUUGCUUCCACAAGCUUCUAUGUUUAAACAAGUUUUCUCCCUUGAGACAGAGACCCAGAAACAACAACGAACUUUGCUCACGGUGCGCCACCAAUGGAUGCAAGAGGAAGAAGGCUUCGGUACCCCAAAGAUUUGA
Molecule: ribosomal RNA, 318 nt
Filed under: Triticum aestivum (bread wheat)
Lineage: Eukaryota; Viridiplantae; Streptophyta; Magnoliopsida; Poales; Poaceae
Description: partial small subunit ribosomal RNA
Source: RNAcentral